This 128-nucleotide ribosomal RNA is filed under the name Vibrio parahaemolyticus. Its description in RNAcentral is "partial 16S ribosomal RNA". It matches the Rfam family "Bacterial small subunit ribosomal RNA", at positions 1 to 103 of the family's 1533-position model. The record is from RNAcentral. Lineage: Bacteria; Pseudomonadati; Pseudomonadota; Gammaproteobacteria; Vibrionales; Vibrionaceae.
CAAAUCUUAAAUUGAAGAGUUUGAUCAUGGCUCAGAUUGAACGCUGGCGGCAGGCCUAACACAUGCAAGUCGAGCGGAAACGAGUUAUCUGAACCUUCGGGGAACGAUAACGGCGUCGAGCGGCGGAC